Molecule: ribosomal RNA, 497 nt
Filed under: uncultured bacterium
Lineage: Bacteria
Description: partial 16S ribosomal RNA
Rfam family: Bacterial small subunit ribosomal RNA
Source: RNAcentral
GAUGAACGCUGGCGGCGUGCCUAAUACAUGCAAGUCGAGCGAACAGACGAGGAGCUUGCUCCUCUGACGUUAGCGGCGGACGGGUGAGUAACACGUGGAUAACCUACCUAUAAGACUGGGAUAACUUCGGGAAACCGGAGCUAAUACCGGAUAAUAUAUUGAACCGCAUGGUUCAAUAGUGAAAGACGGUUUUGCUGUCACUUAUAGAUGGAUCCGCGCCGCAUUAGCUAGUUGGUAAGGUAACGGCUUACCAAGGCAACGAUGCGUAGCCGACCUGAGAGGGUGAUCGGCCAAACUGGAACUGAGACACGGUACAGACGCCUACGGGAGGCAGCAGUAGGGAAUGUUCCGCAAUGGGCGAAAGCCUGACGGAGCAACGCCGAGUGAGUGAUGAAGGUCUUCGGAUCGUAAAACUCUGUUAUUAGGGAAGAACAAAUGUGUAAGUAACUAUGCACGUAUUGACGGUACCUAAUCAGAAAGCAACGGCUAACUACGUG